CUUUUCCGCUUCUCUUCAGAACCACUGCCAUCCUGGACAAGAUGGGAACAGAAGUGCAAUUUAAAAGGCUCCUCUCUGCAGCAACCAAUCCUUGACCAGACCCACAGGUACCCCUGGGCCAAAGACAAGGCAACAAUCAAGACCAAGGCCUGGGACCUAGCAGGCUUUCAGGAAGUUCUAUGAGCCUGGGAGCAGCAGGGCCUGGAGACAACAUGAUCCAAGACGGAGGGCAGUGGACUGUUUGUCAGGUAACCAACCAGAUGUCUGGUCCAGGAGCCGCCACUCACUGGUUCCUGCCUUUGAGGAGCUUAAGAGCCUGGGGUGGGAAGAGACCUGUAUCCAGGGACCAAAGAAACACCUUUGUAAAAAGCAAGUGCCACCAGGACUAGCUGCAUGCCGAAUAUGCGAGAGUACUGC
This is a long non-coding RNA of Homo sapiens (human), 417 nucleotides long. RefSeq lists it as uncharacterized. Lineage: Eukaryota; Metazoa; Chordata; Mammalia; Primates; Hominidae. The transcript is spliced from 3 exons. The record is from RefSeq and is a predicted model, not a curated record.